AGGGAGAUAGCUCAGGGGUGGAGUGCUGGCCUUGCGGGUCUGAGGCUGCAGGUUUGAGCCCAGCUCCUUCUU
Molecule: transfer RNA, 72 nt
Filed under: Erinaceus europaeus (western European hedgehog)
Lineage: Eukaryota; Metazoa; Chordata; Mammalia; Eulipotyphla; Erinaceidae
Rfam family: tRNA
About the family: Transfer RNA (tRNA) molecules are approximately 80 nucleotides in length. Their secondary structure includes four short double-helical elements and three loops (D, anti-codon, and T loops).
Source: Rfam by way of RNAcentral